RNAcentral lists this long non-coding RNA (416 nucleotides) under Nicotiana benthamiana. RNAcentral describes it as "long non-coding RNA (NBEN_LNC012256)". The record is from RNAcentral. Lineage: Eukaryota; Viridiplantae; Streptophyta; Magnoliopsida; Solanales; Solanaceae.
AGACAUAGUCACAGAAUCAAGCAUAAUAAAAUUUUUUUAUACAUGGGUGAUAGGAAUUUGGGGAUAUAUGAAGCACAUAGUGGUAAACACACAACAAGUAGAGAUAACUGGUGCAGACAUGUUCAGAAACAACACAAAUGGGGUAAUACACUGAUCUUAAGGAAGGGGAGUACAUAACAUGCUAAUAAUGUAAACAUCAACUACAAGUUUCAUAGCAAAACCAUAAAUAGAAGCAAACUAGAAAAAGGAUGAACUGAAGCAAUAAAAGAACCAUAUUGUUAUUGGAACUUGAAUUGAAACUAGAACAUAGUGGUAAAGAAGACAGUAAGCAAAAGUGAAAUAUUAUGAGAGAACAAAAUUGUUAGCCUUGGCUUGCAGCGGACAAACUUAGAAUAGUAGAAAGUAGCACAAAGGAG